RNAcentral lists this long non-coding RNA (6170 nucleotides) under Brassica napus (rape). RNAcentral's name for it is "long non-coding RNA (BNAP_LNC011744)". The record is from RNAcentral. Lineage: Eukaryota; Viridiplantae; Streptophyta; Magnoliopsida; Brassicales; Brassicaceae.
GAGAGUUUAGAAACUUCCUUCCAGAGAUUUGCUCUGAUACCACAUAAUACACUCCUAGGAUGCUUCUCUGGUUGGAAUGGGAUAGAUCCUUGCAAACAGAGAAUCAAAGACUCAAUCUGCUUCAAGGUUUGUGGAAUGAAUGGUGACACAAAGAGAUGUGAGAGGUCUCCUUGAUACUCCUAUGUGAAUCCCUUGGAUAUGACACAGCAAGACAAACACUCUUGUGGUUUUGUUAGAUAUGACACACUAACAAAGACUCAAGAACACUCAGAUCUACAAGAAGACUUGCAGCCGUCAGAGAGAGACAAGAGUCUGAAAAUAAAAGAUUGGAUAGUUCUAUUAGGGUUUUCAGACACAUAUUUAUAGAGAAGGCAAGGAACAGGCUCCUUGGUCUCUAAAUGGGCCUUAAAAAUAAACCUUAUAAAACCUUAUAAGGGUUUUCAAGUCUGGCAGCUUAAUUCUCAAGUCUAGCAGCCUAAUUCUCAAGUCUAGCAGUCUAAUUCUCAAGUCUAGCAGCUUAAUUCUGCUUCAUGUUAACAAAGAUAAAUAAUUAAAAUAAAGUCUUGAACUGAGAUCAUCAAAUGAGUGAUAGGAAAGCAACAUAUGGCCUCAUUAAAAACCUAUCUUUGGAAAACCCAGUGGGACAAAACCAAAGAUAGGGAAAAAGAGCACACAUAUGUUACUUGCUCAUUUGAUGUCUAUCUUGGAGCUGAGAUGGCUUGAAUUGUGGCAAGUGUGUCUUGGUUGAUCAAGCUUCUUCCAAGACUCUCUUCUUGCUUCAGUGAUGUCUUAAGUAAUCCCCCAAUGGCUUCUUUGAGUUGCUUGCUUCUGGCUCGAGUCAUAGGACCUUCAGAUAUGGCUAGAGCUCCUCCAUCAACUGGAUCAUCCAUGCUCUCAUUAUCUUCUUUGUUUGGCUGGUCCAUGAUCAUAUCAUCCCCUCCCUCUUGAAAAGGAUUUGUCCUCAAAUCUAGCUCAUCUGCAACAAAAGGAGCCAAGUCAGUAACAUUAAAGCUAUUACUUAUAUCAUACUUACCUUGAAGAUCAAGCUUGUAGGCAUUGUCAUUGAUUUUCUGGAUGACUUCAAAAGGGCCAUCAAUCCGCGGCAUGAGCUUAGAUUUUCUUUCAUUUGGAAACCUCUCCUUGCGCAAGUGAACCCACACUUUAUCACCUACGUCAAAGAUCAUCUCACGCCUGCCUUUGUUUGCUCUUUUAGUGUACUGCUUGGUUUUCUCCACAAUGUUUCUUCUUGCCUGCUCAUGAAUCUGCUGCACCAUUUCUGCUUUCUUUUUCCCAUCCAUGCUCACCCUUUCACACUCAGGUAAAGGCAUUAGAUCCAAAGGUGAGAUGGGAUUGAACCCAUAAACAAUUUCAAAAGGAGAAUACUUAGAAGCAGAAUGCUGAGCAUGAUUAUAAGCAAAUUCACAGUGAGGCAAGAACUCUUCCCAUGAUUUCAGAUUCUUUUUAAUGAAUGCACGCAAGAGAGUUCCAAGAGUUCUAUUAACUACCUCAGUUUGCCCAUCAGUUUGUGGAUGACAUGUAGUAGAGAAUAACAGCUUAGUACCAAGCUUAGACCAAAGAGUCUUCCAAAAAUAACUAAGAAACUUAGUAUCUCUAUCAGAAACUAUAGUCUUAGGCAUGCCAUGAAUGCGCACAAUAUCUUUAAAGAACAGGUUAGCAACAUGCAAUGCAUCAUCAGUUUUAUGGCAAGCAAUGAAAUGUGCCAUUUUUGAAAACCUAUCCACAACUACAAAGAUAGAAUCCUUACCUGUCUUGGUCCUUGGCAAACCCACAAUAAAAUCCAUGGAUAUAUCAUUCCAGGGGUGAGUAGGAAUAGGUAAAGGAGUGUACAAACCAUGUGGUUGAACCUUAGAUUUGGCAAGCUUGCAAGUGGUGCAUCUACCACAGAUUCUCUCAACAUCUCGUUUCAUGUGUGGCCAGUAAAAGUGAUCCUGCAAGACUUUAAGAGUUUUUGCUAUACCAAAAUGACCCAUCAAGCUUCCUCCAUGGGAUUCCCUGAAAAAUAGAUCUCUCAAAGAGCAAUUAGGCACACAUAAACGAUUGUCAUAGAAUAAGAAUCUAUCAUGCCUAAAGUAAUGUCCAGCAGCAUACUUAGCACAUGAAUUAUAAGCUUCUUGAAAGUCAGGAUCAGAUUCAUACAUUUCUUUAAUCUGCUCAAAGCCUAGCAACUUAACAUCAAGAGUAUUCAAGAGGACAUACCUUCUGGAUAGUGCAUCAGCAACUAUAUUUUCCUUACCUUGUUUGUAUUUGAUCACAUAAGGGAAGGUUUCAAUGAAUUCCACCCAUCUGGCGUGUCUCUUGCUGAGCUUGCUUUGUCCUUUGAGGUACUUGAGAGAUUCAUGGUCUGUGUGAAUGACAAACUCCUUUGGCCAGAGAUAAUGCUGCCAAGUCUGUAGAGCUCUCACCAAGGCGUAGAGUUCUUUGUCAUAAGUGGCAUAGUUGAGAGUAGCUCCACUGAGUUUCUUACUGAAAUAAGCAAUAGGUCUUUUAUCUUGCAUCAACACAGCACCAAUUCCAAUUCCUGAGGCAUCACAUUCUAUUUCAAAUGUUUUAGAAAAAUCAGGAAGUAUAAGAAGAGGAGAUUGAGUAAGCUUCUCUUUAAGGAGUUGGAAUGCGGCUUCUUGAACUUCUCCCCACUUGAAUCCUACAUCCUUCUUGAUUAUCUCAGUCAGGGGAGCUGUUAGAGUGCUGAAAUCCUUCACAAAGUGCCUAUAGAAACCUGCCAGUCCAUGGAAACUCCUUACUUCUCCCACUGUAGUUGGACUCGGCCACUCUUGUAUUGCUUUGAUCUUCUCCUGAUCCACCUUUACACCAUCUGCACUUACAACAAAACCUAGAAAGACCAAGUUAUCUGUGCAAAAAGUGCACUUCUUCAGAUUGGCAUAAAGUUUUUCUUUUCUCAAAACAUCCAAAACAGCACUAAGAUGUUCUAUAUGAUCUUCUAAGCAUUUGUUGUAAACUAAUAUAUCAUCAAAGUACACAACAACAAAGAUACCUAUGAAAGACCUAAGAAUAUGAUUCAUCAGUCUCAUGAAUGUACUAGGAGCAUUGGUUAAUCCAAAUGGCAUGACUAACCAUUCAUACAAGCCAUGUUUAGUUUUAAAAGCAGUUUUCCACUCAUCUCCUUCUUUCAUCCUAAUCUGAUGAUAUCCACUUUUCAAAUCUAUCUUAGAAAAGAUGCAAGAACCAUGUAACUCAUCAAGCAUGUCAUCUAAUCUAGGAAUAAGGUGGUGAUACUUCACUGUUAUGUUGUUGAUUGCUCUACAAUCAACACACAUGCGCCAGCUCCCAUCUUUCUUAGACACAAGGAGCACUGGAACUGCACAGGGACUCAAGCUCUCUCGGAUAUGACCCGUCUCCAUCAGCUCCUCUACUUGUCUUUGCAAUUCUUUAGUCUCCACUGGAUUAGUUCUGUAUGCAGGUCUGUUUGGUAGUGUUGAACCAGGUACAAAGUCGAUUUGGUGCUCAAUCCCACGAACUGGAGGCAAUCCAAUGGGGCUAUCUUCUGGAAACACAUCUGCAUAUUCCUGUAAAAGAGAGACUAGUUCACUCGGUUGAUCCGGUGUGUGAUCAGUGACUGUUAGUAAAGUCUCCUUAAACAUAAGCAAGAUAAUAGAAUUUUGAGAGUAAAGAAUUCUUUUGAUAUCUCCCUGUUUGGCAUAGAGGCUGUGAUGCUUGUUCUGAUCAGGUUUGAGGUCUAUCUCUUUCUCCUUCUUUUUCUGAAGCUGGAGUUGAUCUUCAUGAACCUCUUUAGGAGAUAAAGGCACUAGUACAGUCUUCUUUCCCUUGAAUUCAAAUGAGUGCUUGUUGGUGAAGCCAUCAUGAUUCACACGUCUAUCAUACUGCCAGGGUCUUCCAAGGAGUAUAUGACUGGCUUCCAUUGGCAACACAUCACACAAGACUUCAUCUUCAUAUCUACCAAUGGCUACAGGAACCAGAACUUGAGCAGAAACUCUCAUCUCGCCCUCCUCAUUAAGCCACUGCAAUCUGUAUGGUCUUGGGUGUUUCUGAAUUUUCAAACCCAAUUUCUUCACCAUUGUCUCACUAGCUACAUUGACACAACUUCCUCCAUCAACAAUGAGACUGCACACCUUUCCCUGAACAAUACACCUUGUGUAAAACAGAUUCUCACGCUGCUCAAGCUCUCCAUUCGUAGUCUACAAGUUCAAGAGCCUUCUUGUCACCAACAAUCUUCCUUUCACUGGUUCUACUUCACUUUCUUCUCCAGACUCCUCAUGAUCAGACCCAGACUUCUCUUCCUCUGAUUCAUAAUCUCCAUUCUCAAGAAGAAUCAUAACCUUUUUGUUGGUGCACUCAUUCGCAUAAUGCCCACGCCCUUGACAUUUGAAACACUUAACAUCUCUGGUUCUGGAACUAGUAGCUUCAGCUUUGCCUUUGUCUUUGCUGGAUGUGCUGCUCGGCUUAGUCUCUUCUUUCUGCUGAGGCUUGCUAUCCUUCAGAUAGGAUGGUUUCUCUUCCUUAGAGUGGUGGAACCUAGAAGAUCCAUAACUGCGUGAGUUACCCUUCCUCUUGAGCUGCUGCUCCACUAGAAUAGCUUUGUGCAACAUCUCUUCUAUCUCCACAUAGUGUUGCAUCUCCACACUGUCUUGUAUCUCACGGUUAAGCCCUCCAAGGAACCUGGCCAUAGUAGUUUCUCUAUCCUCCAAGAUACCAGCCCUCAACAUCAGCAUCUCCAUGUCUUGAUAGUACUCUUCCACAGUCUUAGAUCAUUGGGUAAGUCUUCUAAGCUUCUGAUGGAGAUCUCGGUGGUAAUGGCUUGGCACAAACCUCUUGCGCAUAAGAGACUUCAUCUCAUGCCAUGAGUCAACUGGAUACUCCUGGUUAAGUCUUCUAGUAGUCACCAACUGAUCCCACCAACUCAAAGCAUAGUCAUAGAACUCAGUGGCAGCAAUCUGAAUUCUUUGGGCAUUGGGGUAGUGUUGCACAUUGAAGACAAGCUCUAUCUACUUCACCCAAUCUAAGUAAGCAUCCGGAUCAACUUUCCCAUGAAAGGGGGGAAUUUUAAGCUUUAAACCAGCAAGCUCAUCCCUGUGAAGUCUUCUUCCAUCAUGAUCACGCCUAUGCCUCCUCCUACUGUCCCUAGAGGAAGAGCUACUGCGCUCAGAUCGGUUGCGGUCAUAGUAGUUAUCAGUCUCUUGUGAACCAGCAUGCUCCUGUUGUGGUUGAGUCCGUCUGUUCCUCCUGGAUUCAUUACUGUGACCCUGACCAGUAGCUUGUCUGAUCUCUUCUCUGAUCUCUUUCAGACUUUCUUUCAUCAUCUCGGUCAUGUUGGUAAGCAUAGUCUGAUUGAGUUGAUUAGUCAUGGCUUCCAUCAACAACUUGUUCUUCCUCAUUAGUUCUGCUUCUUCAUCAGUUGCAUUACCCAUUGGUACCUGAAACCAAAGAUAACACUCAACCAGUAAGGAGUUCGAAAUCAAAAUCAAAUAAGAAAACAAACAAGAGAUGAAACAGAUUCAGCACAGAUCUAGAAUAAAAAUUCUCAGAUUUUCGACAAACAAGAACAGAUCUAUCAGUUUUACACAAGUUAAUCAAUAGAUCGGAUGAUAAACUGAUAGAAACAAUAGAUCUAACACAACAACAACAAGAGAUGAACAGAUUCAGUACAGAUCUAGAAUAAAAAUUCUCAGAUUUAUCACAUUCAAAGCACAGAACAACAGAUCUAUCAAUAUUGAACUCAGAUUGAAAAUAACAAGCCCUAAAUCAGACAAUAAUCAGAUACUCCACCUGAGAUUAGAUCUAGAACAGAUUGACCAAAAACUCAAACAGAUAAAGAGAAACUCAACCUAUUCAAGCCCAAAUCGAAUCAGAUUCAAAUCUAGACAGAGAAUUUUGACCACAAACCCAAUCAGAACAGAUCUAAACAAUUUCAAUUUUUUUUUUUUUCAGAUCUAGAGUUCAUAAGAAAAUUUCGAAAUUGAAAAUAGAAAUAGAGAGUUUAGAAACUUCCUUCCAGAGAUUUGCUCUGAUACCACAUAAUACACUCCUAGGAUGCUUCUCUGGUUGGAAUGGGAUAGAUCCUUGCAAACAGAGAAUCAAAGACUCAAUCUGCUUCAAGGUUUGUGGAAUGAAUGGUGACACAAAGAGAUGUGAGAGGUCUCCUUGAUACUCCUAAGUGAUUCCCUUGGAUAUGA